This 87-nucleotide signal recognition particle RNA is filed under the name uncultured Wenzhouxiangella sp. Its description in RNAcentral is "Bacterial small signal recognition particle RNA". It matches the Rfam family "Bacterial small signal recognition particle RNA", at positions 6 to 89 of the family's 97-position model. From Rfam's summary of the family: The signal recognition particle (SRP) is a universally conserved ribonucleoprotein involved in the co-translational targeting of proteins to membranes. Archaeal SRP consists of a 7S RNA and homologues of the eukaryotic SRP19 and SRP54 proteins. In most bacteria, the SRP consists of a 4.5S RNA and the Ffh protein (a homologue of the eukaryotic SRP54 protein). The record is from RNAcentral. Lineage: Bacteria; Pseudomonadati; Pseudomonadota; Gammaproteobacteria; Chromatiales; Wenzhouxiangellaceae.
UGGUCUUCCCACACUGUUUUUGCGGUGAACCCCGUCAGGCCCGGAAGGGAGCAGCGGCAGCGGCAAACGCAGGUGCUGGGGCUGGGC